GCACCUGACCAGCCCUGCUUUGGUUCGACGUUAUAAAUAAAGUUUAAGCUUAAGUAUAAGCCCUGCCUCCGAGUCCUGCUUUGGGGUCCUCUGCUUUGCCUGCACCAGCAGAACGUGACAGUGGUGGUUCAGGAGGGUAAACUGGAUCUCAUCAUGAAUCCUGUGUUUCUCAAACUGAUCCAGGUCAAAUGGAAACUCUAUGGCAGGUUGGGGGCAUGGCUUCUCUUCAUCCUCAA
Archocentrus centrarchus (flier cichlid) is the source of this 236-nucleotide long non-coding RNA. RefSeq lists it as uncharacterized. The transcript is spliced from 3 exons. Lineage: Eukaryota; Metazoa; Chordata; Actinopteri; Cichliformes; Cichlidae. The record is from RefSeq and is a predicted model, not a curated record.